AAGUCGUAACAAGGUAACCGUAGGUGAACCUGCGGUUGGAUCAUUAAUAAAUAAAAGAUAAUUUAAUUAUCAACAUCUUGUGAAACGUUCUGUCUCUGGCGGAAGGGUGACAUUUCUUCCUUUGGGAAGUGGUCAUCUGUCAGCUUGUGUUUGUUGCUCGCAACAAUGCAGGCCGUGGACAAGCCGCCAAACAUGUAACAAACCUUUUUUUAAUUUUUAUAAAACUAACAUUCUUUGUAUUAAUGUACAAAACAACUUUUGGCAACGGAUCUCUUGGCUCUC
Molecule: unclassified non-coding RNA, 282 nt
Filed under: Gallinipes pseudodichotomus
Lineage: Eukaryota; Fungi; Chytridiomycota; Chytridiomycetes; Spizellomycetales; Spizellomycetaceae
Also listed under: 1 other name
Description: Spizellomyces pseudodichotomus partial internal transcribed spacer region
Rfam family: Eukaryotic small subunit ribosomal RNA (bases 1-46)
Source: RNAcentral